UAGACAUUGAGAGUUUGAUCCUGGCUCAGGACGAACGCUGGCGGCGUGCCUAAUACAUGCAAGUCGAGCGGGUAUCGAAAGAUACCAGCGGCGGACGGGUGAGGAACACGUGGGGAAUCUGCCUAACAGACCGGAAUAACGCCUGGAAACGGGUGCUAAGGCCGGAUAGGCGCAUGAGGCGCAUGCCUGAUGCGGGAAAGGAUGCUACGGCAUCGCUG
RNAcentral lists this ribosomal RNA (218 nucleotides) under Alicyclobacillus tolerans. Its description in RNAcentral is "16S rRNA. Bacterial SSU". It matches the Rfam family "Bacterial small subunit ribosomal RNA", at positions 1 to 220 of the family's 1533-position model. Lineage: Bacteria; Bacillati; Bacillota; Bacilli; Caryophanales; Alicyclobacillaceae. The record is from RNAcentral.